RNAcentral lists this ribosomal RNA (447 nucleotides) under Triticum aestivum (bread wheat). RNAcentral's name for it is "partial small subunit ribosomal RNA". The record is from RNAcentral. Lineage: Eukaryota; Viridiplantae; Streptophyta; Magnoliopsida; Poales; Poaceae.
AUGGAAAGCGAGUCCGGUAUGGAGACGGAGGGGGAAUCCGGCAAGGGGCAGGAUUUGCUGUUGGAUCUGGGGAGGAAACUCGGGAAGAUGGAAAUCGAGUUAGGGAAGUGGACGGAGCAGGCUUCCGGCAAGGAGCAGGAGACGGUGCGGGAUCUGAAGAAGCAGCACAGAAAACUCAGUAAGAAUCGUAGGUACCUGGAGAGGUAUAUGGGGAUGUUGAGGGAAGCCAAGGAGCCGGAGAAGGAGUUGAUGAUUAUUAAGGAGAAGGAGAAGGAGAAGCAACUCUCGAAGAAGCAGGAGACGGUGGUGGAUUCCGGCGAGGAGGAGAUGGACGGGGAUUCGGCGCAGCACCAGUCCCUGAUGGAGGAGAUCAUAUCCGUGGAGAGGGAGCGCAAAGACCUGCUUUGGCUCACUUACUCCUACCUUUUCUCUCUGGAAAGAGAUUGA